Molecule: unclassified non-coding RNA, 380 nt
Filed under: soil metagenome
Description: partial contains 5.8S ribosomal RNA, internal transcribed spacer 2, and large subunit ribosomal RNA
Rfam family: 5.8S ribosomal RNA (bases 1-120)
Source: RNAcentral
GAUGAAGAACGUAGCGAAAUGCGAUAAGUAAUGUGAAUUGCAGAAUUCAGUGAAUCAUCGAAUCUUUGAACGCACCUUGCACCCUUUGGCAUUCUGAAGGGUAUGCUCGUUUGAGUGUCAUUGUACUCUCACACUCCCGAUCUUUGCAUUGGGAGCAGUGGACUUGGGUUUGCUGCUUCACCGUCGCUUACCUCAAAUAGGUUAGUGCAACUCUUGGUUGGACAUAGUACGGCGUGAUAAGUGUUCUUCGCCGGUGCCUCGCAAAGAGGGUGGCCGAUCGGGAUGUUGUGCUCCAAACCGUCUUCGGACAAUCUCUGACGACUUGACCUCAAAUCGAGUAAGACUACCCACUGAACUUAAGCAUAUCAAUAAGCGGAGGA